UACAGAGGUCUCAAGCGUUGUUCGGAUUCAUUGGGCGUAAAGGGUGCGUAGGCGGCGCGGUAAGUCGGGUGUGAAAUCUCGGAGCUUAACUCCGAAACUGCAUUCGAUACUGCCGUGCUUGAGGACUGGAGAGGAGACUGGAAUUUACGGUGUAGCGGUGAAAUGCGUAGAUAUCUGGAGGAACACCGGUGGCGAAGGCGGCAUCCUGGACCAACACUGACGCUGAGGAGCGAAAGCCAGGGGAGCAAACGGG
This 253-nucleotide ribosomal RNA is filed under the name uncultured bacterium. RNAcentral describes it as "partial 16S ribosomal RNA". It matches the Rfam family "Bacterial small subunit ribosomal RNA", at positions 524 to 776 of the family's 1533-position model. The record is from RNAcentral.